UUUGACACAUUAGUAUCAUCACGUUUAUUUGACACAUUAGUAUCAUCACGUUCAUUUGAAACACUAGAAGAACCAAUUGGUUUCAGUUUAAUGAACUUAUCUAAAGACCCUUUUUGUUUCAAUUUAGAUUCUUCAGCUAAUUUUCGUUUUUUUCUUUUUUCAGCUCCUGAUAAGUGUUUUUUAGGAAACAUUAUAGUAACUAGUAAGGAAAGAAUACACCUGAAAAUCAAAAACUUUGAUGAUGUUUUAUGGUUGAAUCCAAAUGGUGCUUUUCUGUGGAAGGCUUGAAUCUACCAGGCCCGUAUCAAAAACUUUGAUGAUUUUUUUUGUUAAUCUACAAACAAUAAAAAAAAAUCAGAAACUUUGAAGAAAGGUUAACAAAAAAACAGAUUGCUAUUGGUAAUUUGAAAGCAACGCAAAAACUUUACCUCAAUAAACUUUGAUUGGCAGUAUGACCAGAAAUCAGCUGUUAACAAAAUUUGGGCUGCAGACAAACAAAAAUAAAAUAUUUUCAGCAACUUGAAUAAGAAAAAAAAAAACAGCAAGUAUCGUCAAAACUAAGAAAAAAAUCGAACUCACCAUAAUGAAAUUAGACAUUCAGACUUGUAGAUUGCUUGUGAGUAGUAGAAAUGUCUAAAAUCAGAUUUUUGAAUCACAAAGUUACAAAGAUUGGGCUGCAAACAAACAAACAUAAUUUUUUUUACACUUGCAAUCAGUGAACAACUACCAAACAAAAAAAGAUUGAAAGAAAUUUGGUGUUACCUAAUGAAAUCGGACUCAAAAUCUGGGAAAUUGGAGCGAAUUGAUAAUGAAACCGGACUCGCAAUCGUGUAUUAGCCUUGCAAUAGAGUUACAGAGUCGUGAUUUCAGAAGCCUUCCAAGAAAGAAUUGAAGCAAAAAAAUCAGAAUCAGAGCAGAAUUGAGUGAUUUGAAUUUUGAGUCGAAGCCGUGACCUGGUGUAGUAUGCAGUAGGAAUGGACGAAUUCGGUAAUAGCGGAUUAAUAGAGUCGUAACUCGUGAACGUGAUUAGGUCUCCCGCUUGAAGAAGAAGAAGACUCAUUGCAACGUUCAAAUCAGACGCACGCUUGCGUCUCGCGAGGUGAGUCUACGACGUUUCAGUUUUCCAUAUCAUGUGUAUUCUCU
This 1143-nucleotide long non-coding RNA is filed under the name Lactuca sativa (garden lettuce). Its description in RNAcentral is "long non-coding RNA (LSAT_LNC000071)". Lineage: Eukaryota; Viridiplantae; Streptophyta; Magnoliopsida; Asterales; Asteraceae. The record is from RNAcentral.